AAUCACUGCCCCCCCACUGACUGUUUUUUUAUGCCCCCCCCCCCCCCAAUUUUGUGCCCCCCCCUCAGUUGGUGGAUGAGCGCCGGGAGCCGCACAAAUGGCACCGCAAAAAGAGUUUCCUGCCGACCCCCCCCCACCUCCGCCCCCCCCCUCCUCCUCCCCCCCCAACCCCCCCCCCACCCACCCAUUGGGGUCCCACCCCUAAUUUAGGGGGGGGUCCCCAAAAACCUUCCGGGGGGGGUUGGGCCCAAACCUGAGGCCUCCUUUGGCCCUUCAUCGCCAUUGAGGACGAACGAAAAGAAGUUGGGGGGGGGGGGGUAAAAAAAAAGAGGAAAAAACCCCAAAAUCGAGCAAAAAUACGUCAAAAAAAUGAUGGAUUUCAGCGCCCCCCCCCCUUAACAUCCCUUCAACCCCCCCCCCCCUUUUUGUUUUAAUUUUAAAUAGAAAAAAAAACCUCAAAAACCCCCAAAAAUAUUUUGGGGGGACCCCCCCCCCCCCCUCCCCCUCCAACCCCCCCCCCCUUUUUUUUUUUCCUUAUUUUCGGUCGUAUUUUUGUUAAUUUUUUGUUAAUUUCUGUCCGGGAUUAUUAUUUUUUUUUGGGGGGGGGGGGAACCGGAAAGAGGGGGGGGGGGGAAACGGUAUUUAUAUAAAUAUGUAAAAUGUGUCAUAAUUUUGGGGGGGGGGGGGGUGGAGGGGAUGGGGGGGGGG
RNAcentral lists this long non-coding RNA (708 nucleotides) under Gallus gallus (chicken). RNAcentral describes it as "lncRNA (ENSGALG00010000389.1)". Lineage: Eukaryota; Metazoa; Chordata; Aves; Galliformes; Phasianidae. The record is from RNAcentral.